UAGGGAAUCUUUGGCAAUGGGGGGAACCCUGACCGAGCAACGCCGCGUGAGUGAAGAAGGUUUUCGGAUCGUAAAGCUCUGUUGUUAAGGAAGAACGAGUGUGAGAAUGGAAAGUUCAUGCUGUGACGGUACUUAACCAGAAAGGGACGGCUAACUACGUGCCAGCAGCCGCGGUAAUACGUAGGUCCCGAGCGUUGUCCGGAUUUAUUGGGCGUAAAGCGAGCGCAGGCGGUCAAUUAAGUCUGAUGUGAAAGCCCCCGGCUCAACCGGGGAGGGUCAUUGGAAACUGGUUGACUUGAGUGCAGAAGAGGAGAGUGGAAUUCCAUGUGUAGCGGUGAAAUGCGUAGAUAUAUGGAGGAACACCAGUGGCGAAGGCGACUCUCUGGUCUGUAACUGACGCUGAGGCUCGAAAGCGUGGGUAGCAAACAGG
Molecule: ribosomal RNA, 430 nt
Filed under: Bacteroidota bacterium
Lineage: Bacteria; Pseudomonadati; Bacteroidota
Description: Bacteroidetes bacterium partial 16S ribosomal RNA
Rfam family: Bacterial small subunit ribosomal RNA
Source: RNAcentral